AGUGAACGCUGGCGGUAGGCCUAACACAUGCAAGUCGAACGGCAGCACAGUAAGAGCUUGCUCUUACGGGUGGCGAGUGGCGGACGGGUGAGGAAUACAUAGGAAUCUACUUUUUCGUGGGGGAUAACGUAGGGAAACUUCCGCUAAUACCGCAUACGACCUACGGGUGAAAGCAGUGGAUCUUCGCACCUUGCGCGAUUGAAUGAGCCGAUGUCGGAUUAGCUAGUUGGCGGGGUAAAGGCCCACCAAGGCGACGAUCCGUAGCUGGUCUGAGAGGAUGAUCAGCCACACUGGAACUGAGACACGGUCCAGACUCCUACGGGAGGCAGCAGUGGGGAAUAUUGGACAAUGGGCGCAAGCCUGAUCCAGCCAUACCGCGUGGGUGAAGAAGGCCUUCGGGUUGUAAAGCCCUUUUGUUGGGAAAGAAAAGCAGCAGAUGAAUACCCCGCUGUUCUGACGGUACCCAAAGAAUAAGCACCGGCUAACUUCGUG
RNAcentral lists this ribosomal RNA (492 nucleotides) under uncultured bacterium. RNAcentral's name for it is "partial 16S ribosomal RNA". It matches the Rfam family "Bacterial small subunit ribosomal RNA", at positions 29 to 507 of the family's 1533-position model. The record is from RNAcentral.